RNAcentral lists this ribosomal RNA (524 nucleotides) under uncultured marine eukaryote. RNAcentral describes it as "SSU rRNA". It matches the Rfam family "Eukaryotic small subunit ribosomal RNA", at positions 613 to 1138 of the family's 1831-position model. The record is from RNAcentral.
UUGCGGUUAAAAAGCUCGUAGUUGGAUCUCGGCAAGUAGAGGGCGGUAUGCUUCGUAGCAUUACUGCCCUAUUACUUGUAGUUUUGCCAGAGGUUCCUGGGUGCUCUUAAUCGAGUGUCUAGGGAUGCUGGCAGGUUUACUUUGAAAAAAUUAGAGUGCUCAAAGCAGGCUAUUACGCUUGAAUAUUCGUGCAUGGAAUAAUAGAAUAGGAAGUUGUUUCUAUUUUGUUGGUUUUCGGAAAUCGACUUAAUGAUUAAUAGGGACAGUCGGGGGCAUUUGUAUUCAAACGACAGAGGUGAAAUUCUUGGACCGUUUGAAGACAAACUACUGCGAAAGCAUUUGCCAAGAAUGUUUUCAUUAAUCAAGAACGAAAGUUAGAGGUUCGAAGGCGGUUAGAUACCGCCCUAGUUCUAACCAUAAACGAUGCCAGCUAGCGAUCUGAGGACGUUUUUUUUGUAGACUCCUCAGGAAGCUUCCGGGAAACCAAAGCGUGUGGGUCCCGGGGGAAGUAUGGUUGCAAAGCU